RNAcentral lists this ribosomal RNA (611 nucleotides) under uncultured Roseobacter NAC1-16. RNAcentral describes it as "bacterial SSU rRNA". It matches the Rfam family "Bacterial small subunit ribosomal RNA", at positions 38 to 692 of the family's 1533-position model. Lineage: Bacteria; Pseudomonadati; Pseudomonadota; Alphaproteobacteria; Rhodobacterales; Roseobacteraceae. The record is from RNAcentral.
GGCGGAGGCCUACACAUGCAAGUCGAGCGCACCUUCGGGUGAGCGGCGGACGGGUUAGUAACGCGUGGGAACGUACCCUUUUCUACGGAAUAGCCUUUGGAAACGAAGAGUAAUACCGUAUACGCCCUUUGGGGGAAAGAUUUAUCGGAGAAGGAUCGGCCCGCGUUAGAUUAGAUAGUCGGUGGGGUAACGGCCUACCAAGUCUACGAUCUAUAGCUGGUUUUAGAGGAUGAUCAGCAACACUGGGACUGAGACACGGCCCAGACUCCUACGGGAGGCAGCAGUGGGGAAUCUUAGACAAUGGGCGCAAGCCUGAUCUAGCCAUGCCGCGUGAGUGAUGAAGGCCUUAGGGUCGUAAAGCUCUUUCGCCUGUGAUGAUAAUGACAGUAGCAGGUAAAGAAACCCCGGCUAACUCCGUGCCAGCAGCCCGCGGUAAUACGGAGGGGGUUAGCGUUGUUCGGAAUUACUGGGCGUAAAGCGCACGUAGGCCGGAUUGGAAAGUUGGGGGUGAAAUCCCGGGGCUCAACCCCGGAACUGCCUCCAAAACUAUCAAGNCUAAGAGUUCCAAGAGAGGUUAGUGGAAAUUCCAAGUGUAGANGGUGAAAUUUGUA